This 557-nucleotide ribosomal RNA is filed under the name Filobasidium magnum. Its description in RNAcentral is "eukaryotic LSU rRNA". It matches the Rfam family "Eukaryotic large subunit ribosomal RNA", at positions 61 to 622 of the family's 3401-position model. The record is from RNAcentral. Lineage: Eukaryota; Fungi; Basidiomycota; Tremellomycetes; Filobasidiales; Filobasidiaceae.
GAAACUAACAAGGAUUCCCCUAGUAACGGCGAGUGAAGCGGGAAGAGCUCAAAUUUGAAAUCUGGUGGCCUCAGGUCAUCCGAGUUGUAAUCUAUAGAAGUGUUUUCCGUGCUGGCUCAUGUACAAGUCCCUUGGAACAGGGCGUCAUAGAGGGUGAGAAUCCCGUCCUUGACAUGAACUACCAGUGCUCUGUGAUACAUUUUCAACGAGUCGAGUUGUUUGGGAAUGCAGCUCAAAAUGGGUGGUAAAUUCCAUCUAAAGCUAAAUAUUGGCGAGAGACCGAUAGCGAACAAGUACCGUGAGGGAAAGAUGAAAAGCACUUUGGAAAGAGAGUUAAACAGUAUGUGAAAUUGUUGAAAGGGAAACGAUUGAAGUCAGUCGUGCUCUUUGGAUUCAGCCGGUUCUGCCGGUGUACUUCCUUUGAGUGGGGUCAACAUCAGUUUUGAUCGCUGGAUAAAGGCUGGAGGAACGUAGUACCCUCGGGUAAACUUAUAGCCUCCUGUCACAUACAGUGGUUGGGACUGAGGAACGCAGCACGCCUUUAUGGCCGGGAUUCG